AUUGAACGCUGGCGGCAGGCCUAACACAUGCAAGUCGAACGGUAACAGGAAACAGCUUGCUGUUUCGCUGACGAGUGGCGGACGGGUGAGUAAUGUCUGGGAAACUGCCUGAUGGAGGGGGAUAACUACUGGAAACGGUAGCUAAUACCGCAUAACGUCGCAAGACCAAAGAGGGGGACCUUCGGGCCUCUUGCCAUCGGAUGUGCCCAGAUGGGAUUAGCUAGUAGGUGGGGUAACGGCUCACCUAGGCGACGAUCCCUAGCUGGUCUGAGAGGAUGACCGGCCACACUGGAACUGAGACACGGUCCAGACUCCUACGGGAGGCAGCAGUGGGGAAUAUUGCACAAUGGGCGCAAGCCUGAUGCAGCCAUGCCGCGUGUAUGAAGAAGGCCUUCGGGUUGUAAAGUACUUUCAGCGGGGAGGAAGGGAGUAAAGUUAAUACCUUGACUCAUUGACGUUACCCGCAGAAGAAGCACCGGCUAACUCCGUG
Molecule: ribosomal RNA, 490 nt
Filed under: uncultured bacterium
Lineage: Bacteria
Description: partial 16S ribosomal RNA
Rfam family: Bacterial small subunit ribosomal RNA
Source: RNAcentral